GCAAACUUGGUCAUUUAGAGGAAGUAAAAGUCAUAACAAGGUUUCCGUAGGUGAACCUGCGGAAGGAUCAUUAGUGAUUUGGCCGAGAGGCCUCAAAACAAUAUCAUCCUCACACCUGUGAACACGUAUCGGACUGGUUGACGCCGGUCUGAGACCUUUACAAACAUUAUGUGUAAUGAACGUAUUAUACCUAUAACAAAAACAAAACUUUCAACAACGGAUCUCUUGGCUCUCGCAUCGAUGAAGAACGCAGC
Molecule: unclassified non-coding RNA, 254 nt
Filed under: uncultured fungus
Lineage: Eukaryota; Fungi
Description: partial contains small subunit ribosomal RNA, internal transcribed spacer 1, and 5.8S ribosomal RNA
Rfam family: Eukaryotic small subunit ribosomal RNA (bases 1-73)
Source: RNAcentral